AUCAACCUUCUGUUCUGUUAAACCUGGGAAGAAAGAGGUUUCAAAGAGUUCUUCCUCUUUAUGAGCCUUCUUACAGCCAAAUCCACUGCAGGUGGUGAAGGUAGGGGAAAAUAGGCAUUGACUUGUGCAUCUGGAUGCUGGGGAUGGACCACUGACAAGUGUUUUCAUUGAUCUGAAAUUAGCAAGACCACAGGCCAGAGUUGUCUCAAAUCCUCAUGUAUAUAUGAAUCACCAGGGCAUCUUGUUAAGAUGCUGCAGGUUUAGGGAGGGGCAGAGAGUGUGCCUUUCUAACAAGCUUCCAGGUGAUAUUGAGAUCUUGAUGCAGCUGGUUCUCAGACCGUGCUUUGAGAAGCGAGGCUACGCUUACCUGGCAGUUUGCUUUUUGGAGAUUUAUCCCGAGGGAACAUGGAUAAUAAAAGCCGUAUUGGGUCAAGAAGUUUUCAUCUAAGAAGGAGGAUUGUGCAAUAGAAAGAGGACUAACGAGGAGCAGGAAAACCAGGGCUGAAUUCCAAGUUAUGCAACAAGCUAACUGAGUGCAUUUGGAUAAGCUAUAGCCUCUCUGAGCUACAAGGAGGAGGUUAAGCUGUGUUGAACAUGUAUCCAGAGCACAAACAGAAACACCCAUUUGGAAAUGUCUGGAUUUGAUGAUGUCCAAGGUCCCUUCUUAACACGGAUAUCCUGUGAUCUCAGUGACAAGCAUAAAGAGGGAAAGAGGAACAAGUCACAAGAGAGUCCCAAAAGUUACAGCUUCUGAGAAAGAAACCAGAGGUCUGAGGAAAGGAAUACUCCAGUGUUCCUGAGAUGAAUCGAGACAGCAAACAGGAAACCAUCUUUGAAAAGCAAGAAGAAGCACCAAAGGUGAAAGAACAGAGAGGAGGGAAUGACUUACAACAGAACCAACAUGUGGCUGCUGCUGCUGCUGGUCAUCUCUAACUGACCACUUUACUGUCAGUGCCAAGCAUUGUGUCAAGCGCUGGAUCAAUAUUAUCUCACUUAAUUGUCAUCCCCGUUCUGUGAGUUUAUACGUGGGACGCCUACCACAGCAUGGCUGCCAAGCAGUGCCAUGUCCGCACCCGGGAUCCGAACCAGCGAACCCCGGGCCACCGAGAAGCGGAACGUGCGAACACCGGGCCGGCCCCUCUCUUUUAAACUUGAGUGGCACAAGAAAGCAGCCACCAGUCUUUCUGGGGACGUGUCCUAUCCCUUCCAGCUACAUCAUCCACACCAGCAGAGAUCCGGAACCCUAUGCAGACGACCCCAGUCCAGGUCACAAGGUGACCAUCACAGAGAAGGGAAAUAUGUUACUUGUUGACAAUACACUGAGCUCACACUGAUGGACAUGCUUAAUCUUCACUCUCCUCCUCCAAGGCUAUAUUUCUCCUGGGGGAACAUGACAUCUUUAUUUUGACAAAAUGUCCUGAGUGGGAGGUGAAGACAGACUACAGCCCUCGAGCCACCAUUUAUUUGAAACUGCCAGCCUUUUUCCUCCAGAACCAAUGAUGCAGAAGUCUUCCAAAAUUUGAACAUCAUUGUGUUAUUUAAUAGCCAAAAAUCUUAUUUUUCUCCUGAUUUAUGCUUGAUAACCCUCUUGAAAUCAUUUAAGGAUAUGUACAAAAGAUAUACUUUUAUGUAGGAUCUAGUUUGAACUCAGAAAGUUAGCAAAAUAUAAAUGAAAUGGUAGAAAAAUGGCAAUAAUGCCACCAUAUUUUGGCUAAUAUGUUCCUAUGCUAAUUAACUGGACUGAAUGUGGAAAACAUACAGAGUUCAGUGAAAGAGGACAUCUGGCCAUCCCAUCUGAACUACUUAUUAGCUCUGUGACCUUGGCUAAGUCACUUAACUUCUCUGAAUCAGUUUCCUCAUCUAUAAAAUUGAAGACACUAAUACUGAGCUUACAGUAUUAUUUGAAUUACUACUUUUACAGUGUGAACCAUACACACAUCAUCUUGUCUGAACUUCUGUCAUGCUUUAGUCAUAUUACUUUUAUAAUUACUAGUGUUUCUAUAUGUAUCAUCUCUUAUUUAGGUGAAAAUAAUUUAAUUGCUUAAUAGUUUACAGAGGGAUUCACACACAUUAGAUCAAUUGAUCUUCACAGCAACCCUGGUAAAUAAGACAGGUAGAUAUUAUUCCAUUUUAGAAGCAAGGAAGUGAGAAGCAAAGAAUUCAAUAAUUUCCCUAAACUCACACAGCUAGAAUGUAGUAGAAGGCAAUGCAAACCCGGCAUUCUGAUUCUACUCUCAUUAAUAGAGCCAUGUUCCCAGGUCAAAUGCUCACUAAAGAGAAGGGUGUAGACUUUCACUAAGACAGGACUGGGACUUCACCCUUGAAUCCACUUCCCUUCCCAUCCCAACUCCCAGGGCCUAGCGCCAUCUUUUAUUCAUAGUGGGCUCUCCACACAUAUUUGCGGAACUCAUUCAUUCACUCAAUCAUUCAAUAUUUAUUGAAUGUCUAUAUGCUAGGCACUCUGCUAAGUGCUAAGAUACUACGAUGAGAAAUACAGACUUGACUGUGCCUACAAAGACUUAUAAUAAACGGAAGGAAGGAAGGAAGGAAAGAAGGGAGGAAAGAAAGAAGGAUGGAGAGAGGGAGGAGGGAGGGGAAGCAAACUGGGCAGAUAUUCUUAAUUUUUUAAUCUGGAUAAAAUACAAAAGUUAGGUCCAGCCCAGGUCAGUCUCCAUAGUGGUGCUCAGAAAGUUCUUGGCCCCAGCCCCAGAGUAAUAUUUUUAGCAAUACUGUAAAGAUUUCUUCAAGGUGGUUUGUCGCAGGCUUUCUGGAUUGCUGGGGAGGAAAUGUGAAGGUGUGUCCGACCCGGUUGCAGAAGGUACACAUAACGGAGUGCAUCGAAGUCAGGGGAAGCUUGCUAGCUUCAUUUUCUGAUACUUCUCCUCAUCUAGAUGAGAGAAGUGUUUAUUUAGGAGUGUUCUCCCUGCCCUUGGCUUAGAAACAAGCUAUAAAUUUUACUAAUCUCAAAGAAGACCAUUUUUUUGUGUGCUUUUUCUCUUUGGUAUAAACUCAUAGACACUUGCUCUGAAAAUCAGCCCUGAGUUAUGCAUCAAUGUUUCCAAUUACAUUCCAGUUACAUGAAGUUUAACAACUCUGAAUAAUGAUUUUAGGGGCGGGGCACAGUGAUUCCCAUCCAAGGGAAGGGAAAUAACAUUCAGCACCUACCUCACAGCCAGCUCCUGUACAGCUCUAUUUUGUCACUGUUUCAUCCUUCGUACAAGACACAGCAGCCCUCAGUAAACAAAGGAUGGUAGAGCAAUACUUAAUUUCCUUAAAUUAUCCAGAAUAUCAAUUAGGAAAUUGAUUUCCUACUUUUCGUGAAAGUAUUUACAAAUGAAUAAAAUUGUGAUGUGAGUUCUCCUUUAUGCAGAAGCCAUUUUAAAAAUUGCUGAAUUCUAAUCUUUUUACAAAAAUUUUCUGCUUUUCAGAUAAUAGGCAUUGACAAGAAUUCAUUUCUUCCUGGCACAUUCACCAUGGCGUACUUGUAAACAUAAUGUACAUAAUCAGUAGAUAGAAAAAUAGCAAAGUAUAUAUCUUCUAAGAAUUUAGUGCUUGAGUAGAAUGAAUGACUUAUUAACCCGUGUUAUAGAUAAUAACUCAUGCUGCGAUACUUUCUACUGAUGAUGUUUAAACCUACAGCAGUGACCAUAGGCAUGAAAAAUUGCCAGGCCAGUCUUGCAGUCCUUUGCAACGUCUAUUUCUAGAAAUAUUUUUUAGAAGUUGGGUAUUUCUAUUUUCUACUACAUCCUCUCAGAAAACAAGUUAUACUUGUCAAUACCGAAAACUAGUUACUCUUAUUAAUGUAAAUUGCGUGAUCACAUCCUUUGGUAAUUUUAAUAAAUAAAAGACAUAAUGGCAAACCAACACCAAAAGAUUUAUAGGUUAUAA
This 3888-nucleotide long non-coding RNA is filed under the name Equus caballus (horse). RNAcentral's name for it is "lncRNA (ENSECAG00000046707.1)". The record is from RNAcentral. Lineage: Eukaryota; Metazoa; Chordata; Mammalia; Perissodactyla; Equidae.